CUAAUUGAUAGAGCAAAUUCUCAGCUACAAAACACCGUUUUGCAGCAUAGUCACCACCAUUAGCUAUGCAUUCUUGCCAGUGAUGAACAAGAGCUUUCAUGACUCACUUGUAAAAAUCUGCACCAGAGGAGAGGAGGUGACCACUGUUGCUGUCACCACUGCUGAAAUGCACCAUCCACUGCCUCACUGCUCUCACAUCCACUGUUUGGUCUCCAUAAAUGUUCAGCUUGACAGAUGGGCCGAAAGCACUGCAGACGUUUGAACAAGGAAAUGGAGAGGGAGCCUGCUGGAAGCAGGGCUUCACGCAGCCAGCCGCAGAUGAUGAAUAGAGUGUGAUUGUGUCUGACAGGCAGCUGGUGUACGGAAGACCAACUGAAGGCUUUACUUCGGCAAGAUCAAAAUCUAUGCAGUGGGAGGAUUUCUGAAAGUACCCUUAAAGAAGUGGAAAAGAUGGGAAAUCACUGAAUUUUCAAGAAUGAAGACAGGAUAUGCAAACACAAACAAGGUCAAAAUUAGAAGGAAGAGGUGGUAUUUAAAAAUACAGCUACAAAGUGCCUUAAUUAUAUCAAGACAGAAAUGAAUAGUCCAUGAUUUAGCAACUGCAGUACAACUAGGAGAAAUGAUGCAUUGAAGGUAGAUGGGACUUGAGCUAGUAGGUGACGACAGAAAAUUUGCACUGGAGGACCAAGAUACCAUACUUUUCCAGCCUAGAAAUGGACCAUUACAGAAGGGAAUGCAGAUGAACAUGGCUGAACUCAGUGCUGCAGUUUACAGAAGUAUCUGCUCACAGCACAGAAUGACACAUGGCUUGUCCUACAUCACAGACAACACUAAGCAGUGUAUGGGAACAGUAGACAAGGAAAAGAAUUGUAGAAUCAUUGAAUCGCCAAAGCUGAAAAAGAUCUCCAAGACCAUCCAGUCCAACUUUCCACCUACCACCAGUAUUUCCCACUAAACCAUGUCCAUCAAUACAACAUCCAAAUGUUUCUUGAACACUUCCAGGGACAGUGAUCUAACCACCUCCUUGGGCAGCCCAUUUCAGUGCCUAACCACUCCUUUGGAGAAUAAAUUUUUCCUAUUAUCCAACCUGAACCUCCCUUGGCACAAAAGAACAAAUAACAAGUGGUUUGGUUUUUCUGUCACAGGUUGUUGGUGUGGUUAAUAUUCUCUGCUUCAGUACUCUGCGUUUACAACUCUUUUGCAAUGAGGUCACACUGACAAGCCACAAACACUGCUUGUUCCUUUUAAGAAAUAGUGAUUGCUAGACGCAAAUGAAUUCAGGGAUGGCUGAGAGGUGAUCUUGCAAGACUUCAAAAUAUCAAAGUGUGUCAUUCUGAUAUGCCUGAUAAAAGUGUUAUUUAAAUAUCCAUGGAAACCAACCUUCACAUUCAACUCAGGGGCUUUGGUCAUAAAUAAAAUACUGGACUGUGAAGGGAUUUCAAAGAUAUACCUUGUCUUUUUGAUCUCUGCAGUUAAUUCUUUCUCUCAACUUGGUCCUUAGAAAGGCGAUUGAAAGUGCAGCUAAGCUAAACGUUCCGUG
Gallus gallus (chicken) is the source of this 1540-nucleotide long non-coding RNA. NCBI's taxonomy places the organism in Eukaryota, Metazoa, Chordata, Aves, Galliformes, Phasianidae. The record is from Ensembl.